Molecule: ribosomal RNA, 545 nt
Filed under: uncultured bacterium
Lineage: Bacteria
Description: bacterial SSU rRNA
Rfam family: Bacterial small subunit ribosomal RNA
Source: RNAcentral
UGAGUUUGAUCCUGGCUCAGGAUGAACGCUAGCGGCAGGCCUAAUACAUGCAAGUCGAACGGUAAGAUCUCGCUUGCGAGAUACACGAGUGGCGCACGGGUGCGUAACGCGUAUGCAACCUACCUCUAACUGGAGAAUAGCCCCGAGAAAUCGGGAUUAAUACUCCAUAAUAUCCAAUUUUCGCAUGAUUUUUGGAUUAAAGUCCCGACGGUUAGAGAUGGGCAUGCGUGACAUUAGUUUGUUGGUGAGGUAACGGCUCACCAAGACUACGAUGUCUAGGGGUUCUGAGAGGAUUAUCCCCCACACUGGUACUGAGACACGGACCAGACUCCUACGGGAGGCAGCAGUAAGGAAUAUUGGUCAAUGGACGAAAGUCUGAACCAGCCAUGCCGCGUGCAGGAUGACAGCCCUACGGGUUGUAAACUGCUUUAAUACGGGAAGAACCCUCUGUACGUGUACAGGGUUGACAGUACCGAAUGAAUAAGCAUCGGCUAAAUCCGUGCCAGCAGCCGCGGUACAUACGGAGGAUGCAAGCGUUAACCGGA